AUUGAACGCUGGCGGCAUGCUUUACACAUGCAAGUCGAACGGUAACAGGCCGCAAGGUGCUGACGAGUGGCGAACGGGUGAGUAAUGCAUCGGAACGUGCCCAGUCGUGGGGGAUAACUGCUCGAAAGAGUAGCUAAUACCUCAUACGAUCUAUGGAUGAAAGCGGGGGACCGUAAGGCCUCGCGCGAUUGGAGCGGCCGAUGUCAGAUUAGGUAGUUGGUGGGGUAACGGCUCACCAAGCCAACGAUCUGUAGCUGGUCUGAGAGGAAGACCAGCCACACUGGGACUGAGACACGGCCCAGACUCCUACGGGAGGCAGCAGCGGGGAAUUUUGGACAAUGGGCGAAAGCCUGAUCCAGCAAUGCCGCGUGCAGGAAGAAGGCCUUCGGGUUGUAAACUGCUUUUGUACGGAACGAAACGGCUCUGGUUAAUACCCGGGGCUAAUGACGGUACCGUAAGAAUAAGCACCGGCUAACUACGUG
RNAcentral lists this ribosomal RNA (482 nucleotides) under uncultured bacterium. RNAcentral describes it as "partial 16S ribosomal RNA". It matches the Rfam family "Bacterial small subunit ribosomal RNA", at positions 30 to 507 of the family's 1533-position model. The record is from RNAcentral.